This 343-nucleotide unclassified non-coding RNA is filed under the name soil metagenome. Its description in RNAcentral is "partial contains 5.8S ribosomal RNA, internal transcribed spacer 2, and large subunit ribosomal RNA". The stretch from base 1 to 120 matches the Rfam family "5.8S ribosomal RNA", at positions 35 to 154 of the family's 154-position model. The record is from RNAcentral.
GAUGAAGAACGUAGCGAAAUGCGAUAAGUAAUGUGAAUUGCAGAAUUCCGUGAAUCAUCGAAUUUUUGAACGCACAUUGCGCCCGCUAGUAUUCUGGCGGGCAUGCCUGUCCGAGCGUCAUUUCAACCCUCAAGCCCCCGGGCUUGGUGUUGGGGAUCGGCGAGCCUCCGCGCCCGCCGUCCCCUAAAUCUAGUGGCGGUCUCGCUGUAGCUUCCUCUGCGUAGUAGCACACCUCGCACUGGGAAACAGCGCGGCCACGCCGUUAAACCCCCAACUUCUGAACGUUUGACCUCGGAUCAGGUAGGAAUACCCGCUGAACUUAAGCAUAUCAAUAAGCGGAGGA